Molecule: long non-coding RNA, 512 nt
Organism: Bufo bufo (common toad)
Lineage: Eukaryota; Metazoa; Chordata; Amphibia; Anura; Bufonidae
Exons: 2
Source: RefSeq, a predicted model, not a curated record
CCCUUCGCCGCACAUGGUACCGCCUUGGCCGCUGACUGGCUCCUCGUCUCCUGAAGACCGUCCCAUGUUGGAGGGGGUGUUAUUCCGGAGUUCAUUGACAGCAGUGCAGGGGGGAGGCAUGGGGUCAUAUCACAUGGGGCUGCUCAGAGCUGAGGACCCGGGCACAGAGUUCCUAGGAAGUGACGGCGCUCAGGUGAGGACGCCAUAUGCGGCGGGUACUGAUGGCGCCUUCACCUUUCUCGUACCCGGCACAACUUCCUCACGUGCGGGAGCAGGCUGGGCACAGGGAGGGGGCGGCACGGCUUCUGGAACAGCUGUGCCCGGCACGGGGAGGGUUAAAGGAGGAGGGAGUUCAUGGACUCCAACAAAGAAUAUGGCGAGAGUCUCCCACAGCCGUCCCCGUGCCCUUCACCGGCGCUCGGCUCGUGUGAAGAGUGUGUUUUGUCAAAAGAAAAAGCUGGAAGAUGUCAAGAGGAGUUUCUGAAAUAUAUUGAAGUGUCUGCUGUGGGUUA